RNAcentral lists this ribosomal RNA (417 nucleotides) under Paenibacillus dendrobii. RNAcentral's name for it is "partial 23S ribosomal RNA". It matches the Rfam family "Bacterial large subunit ribosomal RNA", at positions 1 to 407 of the family's 2925-position model. Lineage: Bacteria; Bacillati; Bacillota; Bacilli; Caryophanales; Paenibacillaceae. The record is from RNAcentral.
UUGGUUAAGCUACUAAGAGCACACGGAGGAUGCCUAGGCGCUAGGAGCCGAAGAAGGACGUGGCGAACAACGAUACUGCCUCGGGGAGCUGUAAGCAAGCUUUGAUCCGGGGAUUUCCGAAUGGGGAAACCCAGCUGGAGUAAUAUCCAGUUACUCAUCACUGAAUACAUAGGUGUUGAAGAGGCAUACCAGGGGAACUGAAACAUCUAAGUACCCUGAGGAAGAGAAAACAAGAGUGAUUCCGUCAGUAGCGGCGAGCGAACGCGGAACAGCCUAAACCGGUCAGCUUGCUGGCCGGGGUUGUGGGACGUCUCACAUGGAGUUACAAAGGAACAGAUUAGGCGAAGAGGUCUGGAAAGGCCCGGCAUAGAAGGUAAAAGCCCUGUAGCUGAAAGUUUGUUCCCUCCGAGACGGAUC